GGGGCGUCGGCGGCGCCUGGGGCCUGAGGAGGUGUCGUUGCCUCGGGCUUCGCUGAGGGAGCACCUCUGGCCCGGUGCGCCGCCGGCCGCGCGGGCACCGCUGCCGCCGGGGACGGGAUGUGACCUUCCCCUGCGUGGAAAAACUCAAGACCUCAGAACAUGGGGAGCGCGGGCCUGAGUCAUAUCUUUUUUGCCUUCGGUUUUUCUCUUGUUAGUCUCCUGGGCCAAAUAAUUGCUGUUUAUAGACAGUGUUCCCCUGAGUGGGUCUGAGUCGACUCUGAAUGUAUGUGACCAAUUCAGUGUCAUCAUUGGUUUCAAUAAUUCUAGAGCUAUCUAAUUUGUGUCCUUAAAAAAAGGAAGGGGGUGAUGGCAUUCUUGCAUUCUUGAAGGAAAAAAGAGCACCAUGGAUUUUACUCUGUGAAGCUGACUGCUUCUGCCAUGUUGUGAGGCUAAAAUGAACUGAUACCAAUUCAUUAAAAGUGGUUCAUUCAGAGCAGAUGUGUUUUGGUUAACAUGAUUACAUGAGGUUAUUAGUUUGUUCAUUUCGGUACCCUUUUCCUUAAGGGCUUUAUUUCAUGAAGUAAUUGAACAUGGCUGGAUAGAGGAAGCCAUCUGAAUUCAUUUCAUGCCAGUAAGCAACAUCAUAGGUACUUCUGUCCCAGCAACUUUUAUUUAUUGCUGUGUAACACAUUAUCUCAAAACAUAAUACCUU
This 712-nucleotide long non-coding RNA is filed under the name Sus scrofa (pig). RNAcentral describes it as "lncRNA (ENSSSCG00000058992.1)". The record is from RNAcentral. Lineage: Eukaryota; Metazoa; Chordata; Mammalia; Artiodactyla; Suidae.